RNAcentral lists this ribosomal RNA (467 nucleotides) under uncultured bacterium. Its description in RNAcentral is "partial 16S ribosomal RNA". It matches the Rfam family "Bacterial small subunit ribosomal RNA", at positions 29 to 507 of the family's 1533-position model. The record is from RNAcentral.
ACGCACGCUGGCGGCGUGCUUCACCCCUGCCAGUCGCACGGAAAGGCCCUGCUUUUGUGGGGUGCUCGAGUGGCGAACGGGUGAGUAACACGUGAGUAACCUGCCCUUGACUUUGGGAUAACUUCAGGAAACUGGGGCUAAUACCGGAUAGGAGCUCCUGCUGCCUGGUGGGGGUUGGAAAGUUUCGGCGGUUGGGGAUGGACUCGCGGCUUAUCAGCUUGUUGGUGGGGUAGUGGCUUACCAAGGCUUUGACGGGUAGCCGGCCUGAGAGGGUGACCGGCCACAUUGGGACUGAGAUACGGCCCAGACUCCUACGGGAGGCAGCAGUGGGGAAUAUUGCACAAUGGGCGGAAGCCUGAUGCAGCAACGCCGCGUGCGGGAUGACGGCCUUCGGGUUGUAAACCGCUUUCGCCUGUGACGAAGCGUGAGUGACGGUAAUGGGUAAAGAAGCACCGGCUAACUACGUG